This 99-nucleotide small RNA is filed under the name Marmota monax (woodchuck). The record is from RNAcentral. Lineage: Eukaryota; Metazoa; Chordata; Mammalia; Rodentia; Sciuridae.
GCCGGGUGUGGUGAUGCACACCUGUAAUCCCUGUCAAUCAGGAGGCUGAGGCAGGAAGAUAGCAAGUUCAAGGGCAGCCUGAGCAACUUAGUGUCUCAA